RNAcentral lists this ribosomal RNA (459 nucleotides) under uncultured bacterium. RNAcentral's name for it is "partial 16S ribosomal RNA". It matches the Rfam family "Bacterial small subunit ribosomal RNA", at positions 338 to 795 of the family's 1533-position model. The record is from RNAcentral.
CCUACGGGUGGCAGCAGUGAGGAAUAUUGGUCAAUGGACGAGAGUCUGAACCAGCCAAGUAGCGUGAAGGAUGACUGCCCUAUGGGUUGUAAACUUCUUUUGUCAAGGGACAAAAUCAGGCUCGAGAGCCUGACCGAGGGUACUUGAAGAAAAAGCAUCGGCUAACUCCGUGCCAGCAGCCGCGGUAAUACGGAGGAUGCGAGCGUUAUCCGGAUUUAUUGGGUUUAAAGGGUGCGUAGGCGGACUGUUAAGUCAGUGGUAAAAGCCCGGGGCUCAACCCCGGCGAGCCGUUGAAACUGGCUGUCUUGAGAUGUCGAGAGGUAUGCGGAAUGCGCAGUGUAGCGGUGAAAUGCUUAGAUAUUGCGCAGAACUCCGAUUGCGAAGGCAGCAUACCGGCGGCGAUCUGACGCUGAGGCACGAAAGCGUGGGUAUCGAACAGGAUUAGAUACCCGAGUAGUC